RNAcentral lists this ribosomal RNA (690 nucleotides) under uncultured bacterium. RNAcentral's name for it is "bacterial SSU rRNA". It matches the Rfam family "Bacterial small subunit ribosomal RNA", at positions 141 to 851 of the family's 1533-position model. The record is from RNAcentral.
GGAUAACAUACCGAAAGGUAUGCUAAUACGGGAUAAUAUAUUUGAGAGGCAUCUCUUAAAUAUCAAAGGUGAGCCAGUACAGGAUGGACCCGCGUCUGAUUAGCUAGUUGGUAAGGUAACGGCUUACCAAGGCGACGAUCAGUAGCCGACCUGAGAGGGUGAUCGGCCACAUUGGAACUGAGACACGGUCCGAACUCCUACGGGAGGCAGCAGUGGGGAAUAUUGCACAAUGGGCGAAAGCCUGAUGCAGCAACGCCGCGUGAGUGAUGAAGGCCUUCGGGUCGUAAAACUCUGUCCUCAAGGAAGAUAAUGACGGUACUUGAGGAGGAAGCCCCGGCUAACUACGUGCCAGCAGCCGCGGUAAUACGUAGGGGGCUAGCGUUAUCCGGAUUUACUGGACGUAAAGGGUGCGUAGGCGGUCUUUCAAGUCAGGAGUGAAAGGCUACGGCUCAACCGUAGUAAGCUCUUGAAACUGGGAGACUUGAGUGCAGGAGAGGAGAGUGGAAUUCCUAGUGUAGCGGUGAAAUGCGUAGAUAUUAGGAGGAACACCAGUUGCGAAGGCGGCUCCCUGGACUGUAACUGACGCUGAGGCACGAAAGCGUGGGGAGCAAACAGGAUUAGAUACCCUGGUAGUCCACGCUGUAAACGAUGAGUACUAGGUGUCGGGGGUUACCCCCUUCGGUGCCGCAG